UUUGCACUUGAGUUUUUGGUGUUUUUGAUCUUGAUUUUGUGUGUAUGUUGAACUUGAGUUUGUGGUGUUUUUGAACUUGAGUUGGUGGUGUUAAUGAACUUAAGCUUGUGUUUGAACUUGAGUUUGUGGUGUUUGUUGAACUUGAGUUUGUGUCGUGUUUGCACUUGAGUUUUGGUCUUGAUUUUGUGUGUAUGUUGAACUUGAGUUUGUGGUGUUUUUGAACUUGAGUUGGUGGUGUUAUUGAACUUGAGCUUGUGUUUGAACUUGAGUUUGUGGUUUUUGUUGAACUUGAGUUUGUGUUGUUUUUGAACUUCAGUUUGUGUGGUGUUUUUGAACUUGAAUUUUUGUCGUGUUUCAACUUGAGUUUGUGGCGUGUUUGAAAAUGAGUUUGUGGCAUGUUUGAACUUGAGUUUGUGUUGUUUUUGAACUUGAGGUUGUGGCAAUUGUUAAACUUGAGAUUUGGGUGUUGGUUGAACUUGAGUUUGUGGUGUUUUUUGAACUUGAGUUUGUUUCGUGUUUGAAUUUGAGCUUGUGUGUUUUUUUAUCUAAAGUUUGUGGCACUUUAUGAACUUGAGUUUGUUGAACUUGAGUUUGUGGUCUUUGUUCAACUUGAGUUUGUGAUUUUUAGUGAACUCUAGUUGGUGGCAUCUUUGAACUUGAGUUUGUGGCAUUUGUUGAACUUGAGUUUGUGAUGUGUUUGAACUUGAGUUUGUGGUGUUUUUGAACUUGAGUUUGUGUCCUGUUUGAAAAUGAGUUUGUGGCGUGUUUGAACUUGAGUUUCUGCUGUCUUUGAACUUGAGGUUGUGGCAAUUGUUAAACUUGAGGUUUGGGUGUUGGUUGAUCUUGAGUUUUUGUCUUGUUUGAACUUUUGUUUUUGGAUUUUUUGAACUAGAGUUUGUGUGUUUUUUUAACUUAAGUUUUUGGCAACUUAUGAACUUGAGUAUAUUGAACUUGAGUUUGUGGCAUUUGUUGAACUUGAGUUUGUGAUGUGUUUGCACUCCAGGUUGUGGUGUUUUUGAACUUGAGGUUGUGGCAAUUGUUGAACUUGAGUCUGUGGUUUUUAGUGAACUUAAGUUGGUGGCAAUUCUUUAACUUGAUUUUUGAGUUUGUAGCGUGUUUGAAUUUGAGGUUGUUGCAAUUUUUAAAUUUGAGAUUUGGGUGUUGGUUGAACUUAAAAUUUUCACAUUUAUUGAACUGGAGUUUGUGGUUUUUUGUUGAACUUGAGCUUGUGUUUUUUGAACUUGAGUAUGUGUGUUUGUUGAACUUGAGUUUGUGGUGUUUUUUGAACUUGAGGUUGUGGUUUUUUUUAACCUGAGUUUGUGUUUUUCUUGAACUUGAGUUUUUGGCAUGUUUGAAUUUGAGGUUCUUGCAAUUCUUAAACUUGAGAUUUGGGUGUUGGUUGAACUUGAAACUGUGACAUUUGUUGAACUUGAGUUUGUGGUGUUUGCUGAACCUGAGUUUGUAUCGUGUUUGAAACUGAGUUUGUGGUGUUUUUGAACUUGAGGUUGUGUGUUUUUUGAACUUGAGUUUGUGGUGUUUUUGAACUUCAGUUUGUGGCCCUUUUUUAACUUGAGUUUGUUGAACUUUAGUUUUUGGCAAUUGUUAAAUGUGAGUUUAGGUCAUUUGUUGAACUUGAAAUUUUGGAAUUUGUUGAACUUAAGAUUGUGGUGUUUGUUGAACUUGAGUUUUUGGCAAUUGUUGAACUUGAGUCUGUAUUUUUCUCUAAACUUUAGUUGGUGGCAAUUGUUGAAGUUGAGUUUGUGGUGUUUUUGCACCUGAGUUUGUGUCGUGUCUGAACUUGAGUUUGUGUUGUAUUUGAACUUGAGGUUGUGGCAAUUGUUAAACUUGAGAUUUGGGUGUUGGUUGAACUUGAAAUUGUGGUAUUUGGCAAAUUUGAGUUUGUCGCGUGUUUGAACUUGAGUUUGUGGUGUUUUUGAACUUGAAGUUGUUGAAAUUGUAAAAUUUGAGAUUUGGAUUUGGUUGAACUUGAGUUAGUGUUGCAUUUUGAACUUGAGUUUGUGGUGUUUUUGAGCUUGAGCUUGUGUGUUUUUUGAACUGAAGUUUGUGGCAAUUGUUAAACUUGCGACUUGGGUGUUGGUUGAACUUGAGUUUGUGGUGUUUUUGAACUUGACUUUGUGUGUUUGUUGAACUUGAGUUUGUGGCGUGUUUGAACUUGAGUUUGCGGUGUUUUUGAACUUGACUUUGUGUGUUUGUUGAACUUGAGUUUGUGGCGUGUUUGAACUUGAGUUUGUGGUGUUUUUGAAAUUAAGGUUUUGGCAAAUGUUAAACUUGAGAUUUGGGUGUUGGUUGAACUUGAGUUUUUGUUGUUUUUGAACUUGAGAUUGUGGUGUUUUUGAACUUCAGUAAGUGUGUUUGUUUAACUUUAGUUUAUGCUGUGUUUGAACUUGAGUUUUUGGUGUUUUUGAAAUUGACUUUGUGUUUGAACUUGAGUUUGUGUUGUGUUUGAACUUGGGCUUGUGUCUUGUUUGAACUUGAGUUUGUGGUGUUUGUUGAACUUGAGUUUGUGUCGUGUUUGCACUUGAGUUUUUGGUGUUUUUGAUCUUGACUUGGUGGUGUAUUUGAACUUGAGUUUUGUGUUUGAACUUGAGUUUGUGGUGUUUGUUGAACUUGAGUUUGUGGCGUGUUUGCACUUGAGUUUUUGGUGUUUUUGAUCUUGAUUUUGUGUGUAUGUUGAACUUGAGUUUGUGGUGUUUUUGAACUUGAGUUGGUGGUGUUAUUGAACUUGAGCUUGUGUUUGAACUUGAGUUUGUGGUUUUUGUUGAACUUGAGUUUGUGUUGUUUUUGAACUUCAGUUUGUGUGGUGUUUUUGAACUUGAAUUUUUGUCGUGUUUCAACUUGAGUUUGUGGCGUGUUUGAAAAUGAGUUUGUGGCAUGUUUGAACUUGAGUUUGUGUUGUUUUUGAACUUGAGGUUGUGGCAAUUGUUAAACUUGAGAUUUGGGUGUUGGUUGAACUUGAGUUUGUGGUGUUUUUUGAACUUGAGUUUGUUUCGUGUUUGAAUUUGAGCUUGUGUGUUUUUUUAUCUAAAGUUUGUGGCACUUUAUGAACUUGAGUUUGUUGAACUUGAGUUUGUGGUCUUUGUUCAACUUGAGUUUGUGAUUUUUAGUGAACUCUAGUUGGUGGCAUCUUUGAACUUGAGUUUGUGGCAUUUGUUGAACUUGAGUUUGUGAUGUGUUUGAACUUGAGUUUGUGGUGUUUUUGAACUUGAGUUUGUGUCCUGUUUGAAAAUGAGUUUGUGGCGUGUUUGAACUUGAGUUUCUGCUGUCUUUGAACUUGAGGUUGUGGCAAUUGUUAAACUUGAGGUUUGGGUGUUGGUUGAUCUUGAGUUUUUGUCUUGUUUGAACUUUUGUUUUUGGAUUUUUUGAACUAGAGUUUGUGUGUUUUUUGAACUUAAGUUUUUGGCAACUUAUGAACUUGAGUAUAUUGAAAUUAAGUUUGUGGCAAAUGUUGAACUUGAGUUUGUGGCAUUUGUUGAACUUGAGUUUGUGAUGUGUUUGCACUCCAGGUUGUGGUGUUUUUGAACUUGAGGUUCUGGCAAUUGUUGAACUUGAGUCUGUGGUUUUUAGUGAACUUAAGUUGGUGGCAAUUCUUUAACUUGAUUUUUGAGUUUGUAGCGUGUUUGAAUUUGAGGUUGUUGCAAUUUUUAAAUUUGAGAUUUGGGUGUUGGUUGAACUUAAAAUUUUCACAUUUAUUGAACUGGAGUUUGUGGUUUUUUGUUGAACUUGAGCUUGUGUUUUUUGAACUUGAGUAUGUGGUUUUUGUUGAACUUGAGUUUGUGUCAUGUUUGAACUUGAUUUUGUGUUGUUUUUAACUUGAGUUUGUGGUUUUUUUUAAGUUGAGGGUGUGGAAUUUGUUGAAUUUGAGGUUGUGGCAAUUGUUAAACUUGAUUUUGUGUUUUAGUUGAACUUGAGUUUGUGUCGUGUUUGCACUUGAGUUUGUGGUGUUUUUUAUGAACUUGAGUUUGUGUGUUUGUUAAACUUGAGGGUGUGGCAAUUGUUAAACUUGAGAUCUGGGUGUUGGUUGAACUUAAGUUUUUUUGUGUUUGAACUUGAGUUUGUGGUGUUUGUUGAAUUUGAGUUUGUGUGUGUUUGAACUUGAUUUUGAGGUGUUUUUGAACCUGAGUUUGUGGUUUUUGUUUGAACUUGAUUUUGUGUGUUUGUUAAACUUGAGUUUGUGUGUUUUUUGAACUUGAGUUGGUGGUGUUUUUGAACUUGAGUUUCGUGUUUGAACCAGAGUUUGUGGUUUUUGUUAAACUUGAGUUUGUGUCAUGUUUUAACUUGAGUUUGUGGUCUUCUUGAAAUUGAGUUUGUGUGUUUUUUGAAGUUAAGGAUGUGGAAUUUGUUGUACUCAAGGUUGUGGAAAUUGUUAAACUUGAGUUUGUGUGUUAUUUGAACUCUAGUGUGUGUUGUAUUUGAACUUCAGUUUGUGUGAUUGUUGAACUUGAGUUUGUGUUGUGUUUGAACUUGAGUUUGUGGUCUUUUGAACUUGAGUUUGUGGUGUUUUUAACUUGAGUUUGUGUGUUUUUGAACUUGAAGUUUGUGGCAAUUGUUAAACUUGAGAUUGGGUGUUGGUUGAACUUGAGUUUUGUUGUGUUUGAACUUGA
Molecule: long non-coding RNA, 4622 nt
Filed under: Xyrichtys novacula (pearly razorfish)
Lineage: Eukaryota; Metazoa; Chordata; Actinopteri; Labriformes; Labridae
Source: RNAcentral